ACUCAAAUGAAUUGACGGGGGCCCGCACAAGCAGCGGAGCGUGUGGUUUAAUUCGAGGCAACGCGAAGAACCUUACCCGGGUUUGACAUGCAUCUGGUAGCGAAGGGAAACUGGAGCGACCCGCAAGGGAGGAUGCACAGGUGCUGCAUGGCUGUCGUCAGCUCGUGCCGUGAGGUGUUAGGUUAAGUCCUGUAACGAGCGCAACCCUUACUGCCAGUUACAAGUGUCUGGCGGGACUGCCGGCGUGAAGCCGGAGGAAGGUGGGGAUGACGUCAAGUCAGCAUGGCCUUUAUAUCCGGGGCGACACACACGCUACAAUGGGUGGCACAGAGGGAAGCCAAACCGCGAGGUGGAGCGAAUCUCACAAAGUCAUCCGUAGUUCGGAUUGCAGGCUGCAACUCGCCUGCAUGAAGCUGGAGUUGCUAGUAACCGCGCAUCAGCCACGGUGCGGUGAAUACGUUCCCGGGCCUUGUACACACCGCCCGU
This 486-nucleotide ribosomal RNA is filed under the name uncultured bacterium. Its description in RNAcentral is "partial 16S ribosomal RNA". It matches the Rfam family "Bacterial small subunit ribosomal RNA", at positions 899 to 1397 of the family's 1533-position model. The record is from RNAcentral.